Molecule: ribosomal RNA, 441 nt
Filed under: uncultured bacterium
Lineage: Bacteria
Description: bacterial SSU rRNA
Rfam family: Bacterial small subunit ribosomal RNA
Source: RNAcentral
AACGCGAAGAACCUUACCUGGGCUCGAAAUGUAGAGGACGAUAUCAGAGAUGAUAUUUCCCGAAAGGGUCUUUAUAUAGGUGCUGCAUGGCUGUCGUCAGCUCGUGCCGUGAGGUGUUUGGUUAAGUCCAGCAACGAGCGCAACCCUUAUCGUUAGUUGCCAACGCGUAAAGGCGGGAACUCUAACGAGACUGCCUAGGUUAACUAGGAGGAAGGCGAGGAUGACGUCAAGUCCGCAUGGCCUUUAUGUCCAGGGCUACACACGUGCUACAAUGGUCGGUACAGAAGGCUGCGAAACCGUAAGGCGAAGCAAAUCCUGAAAAACCGAUCUCAGUUCAGAUUGUAGUCUGCAACUCGGCUACAUGAAGUUGGAAUUGCUAGUAAUGGCGUGUCAGCAACAACGCCGUGAAUACGUUCCCGGGCCUUGUACACACCGGUACUA